AGACUGGGAACUCCGGGAACCGGGGCUAAUACCGGAUGGUUGUUUGAACCGCAUGGUUCAGACAUAAAAGGUGGCUUCGGCUACCACUUACAGAUGGACCCGCGGCGCAUUAGCUAGUGUGNGUNGAGGUAACGGCUCACCAAGGCGACGAUGCGUANGCCGACCUGAGAGGGUGAUCGGCCAACACUGGGAACUGAGACACUGGCCCAGACUCCUACCGGGAGGCAGCAGUAGGGAAUCUUCCGCAAUGGACGAAAGUCUGACGGAGCAACGCCGCGUGGAGUGAUGAAGGUUUUCGGAUCGUAAAGCUCUGUUGUUAGGGAAGAACAAGUGCCGUUCAAAUAGGGCGGCACCUUGACGGUACCUAACCAGAAAGCCACGGCUAACUACGUGCCAGCAGCCGCGGUAAUACGUAGGUGGCAUANCGCGUUGUCCGGAAUUAUUGGGCGUAAAGGGCUCGCAGGCGGUUUCUUAAGUCUGAUGUGAAAGCCCCCGGCUCAACCGGGGAGGGUCAUUGGAAACUGGGGAACUUGAGUGCAGAAGAGGAGAGUGGAAUUCCACGUGUAGCGGUGAAAUGCGUAGAGAUGUGGAGGAACACCAGUGGCGAAGGCGACUCUCUGGUCUGUAACUGACGCUGAGGAGCGAAAGCGUGGGGAGCGAACAGGAUUAGAUACCCUGGUAGUCCACGCCGUAAACGAUGAGUGCUAAGUGUUAGGGGGUUUCCGCCCCUUAGUGCUGCAGCUAACGCAUUAAGCACUCCGCCUGGGGAGUACGGUCGCAAGACUGAAACUCAAAGGAAUUGACGGGGGCCCGCACAAGCGGUGGAGCAUGUGGUUUAAUUCGAAGCAACGCGAAGAACCUUACCAGGUCUUGACAUCCUCUGACAAUCCUAGAGAUAGGACGUCCCCUUCGGGGGCAGAGUGACAGGUGGUGCAUGGUUGUCGUCAGCUCGUGUCGUGAGAUGUUGGGUUAAGUCCCGCAACGAGCGCAACCCUUGAUCUUAGUUGCCAGCAUUCAGUUGGGCACUCUAAGGUGACUGCCGGUGACAAACCGGAGGAAGGUGGGGAUGACGUCAAAUCAUCAUGCCCCUUAUGACCUGGGCUACACACGUGCUACAAUGGACAGAACAAAGGGCAGCGAAACCGCGAGGUUAAGCCAAUCCCACAAAUCUGUUCUCAGUUCGGAUCGCAGUCUGCAACUCGACUGCGUGAAGCUGGAAUCGCUAGUAAUCGCGGAUCAGCAUGCCGCGGUGAAUACGUUCCCGGGCCUUGUACACACCGCCCGUCACACCACGAGAGUUUGUAACACCCGAAGUCGGUGAGGUAACCUUUUAGGAGCCAGCCGCCGAAGGUGGGACAGAUGAUUGGGGUGAAGUCGUAACAACGUAGCCGUAUCG
This 1396-nucleotide ribosomal RNA is filed under the name Bacillus subtilis. Its description in RNAcentral is "bacterial SSU rRNA". It matches the Rfam family "Bacterial small subunit ribosomal RNA", at positions 135 to 1507 of the family's 1533-position model. Lineage: Bacteria; Bacillati; Bacillota; Bacilli; Caryophanales; Bacillaceae. The record is from RNAcentral.